Molecule: ribosomal RNA, 301 nt
Filed under: uncultured bacterium
Lineage: Bacteria
Description: partial 16S ribosomal RNA
Rfam family: Bacterial small subunit ribosomal RNA
Source: RNAcentral
CAGUCGCCGCGGGAAAACGGAGGGAGCUAGCGUUGUUCGGAAUUACUGGGCGUAAAGCGCGCGUAGGCGGUUCGCCAAGUUGGAUGUGAAAUCCCCGGGCUCAACCUGGGAACUGCAUCCAAAACUGGCGAGCUAGAGUAUGGUAGAGGGUGGUGGAAUUUCCUGUGUAGCGGUGAAAUGCGUAGAUAUAGGAAGGAACAUCAGUGGCGAAGGCGACCACCUGGACUGAUACUGACACUGAGGUGCGAAAGCGUGGGGAGCAAACAGGAUUAGAUACCCGGGUAGUCCCUGUCUCUUAUAA